AGCUGAGGCCGCAGCACGCCAUUGAGACAUUCACUGAUCACUUCUCCAUUUUCCCUCUGCAAGUUUCAGCCAACUGAUAAAAGACUCGGAAUGUCUGGAAGAAAGGCCCAGCUCUGUGAAGAGAGAGGCGCUUAACUUGGAAAGCCUUGGAGUUGAACAAUUUCUGUCCUCGGAGGGCUGGGCUGGCAUCAUCCACUUGGCUGGUUGGAAGCAAGUGCCGCUUGAUGUGGGCUCUGAGAAAACCCAGACUUGAGUGCCUCGGUGCCAACUGAGAGUCAUGACUUAACAGGAGAAUGGGAAAGCAUCUGGAAUAACCCACAGUGAGCUCAAACAGUGUCUGGUUCAGGGCUACUGAGGGCUGUCCAGACAAGCAGAGACUGGUAUCAGGAAACCAACUCUCCCCUCACCUUCUGCCAAAAAAGGAACUACAAAAAUAGAGUAUGCUUCAGUGGGCAUGGUGGAAAUGCUACGUUGAAUAGCCAUGGAAAGGUGAAUAUUAUUAUUAUUAUUUUUUUUUGGAGGAAGGUUAGCCCUCAGCUAACUACUGCCAGUCCUCCUCUUUUUGCUGAGGAAGCCUGGCUCCGAGCUAACAUCCGUGCCUAUCUUCCUCUAGUUUAUACGUGGGACGCCCCCCACAGCAUGGCUGCCAAGCAGUGCCAUGUCCGCACCCGGGAUCCGAACCAGCGAACCCCGGCCCGCCGAGAAGAGGAACGUGCGAACUUAACUGCUGCGCCACCGGGCCGGCCCCGGAAAGAUGAAUAUUAUUAUAAUAUAAUAUAGGACAGUCUUGGGUUGCUAAUUCCCUCCCUGCAGAUUGACCCCCAUCCCUGAUCAGAACACGUCUUUGACAUAAUAAAGCACCGAAGUUGUACACCCUUCUGUGAAGGAUCAGGGUCUACCAAGCUGGAAUCAGGAACCACCAUGUCCACCCCUUUGACACCUAG
This 944-nucleotide long non-coding RNA is filed under the name Equus caballus (horse). RNAcentral's name for it is "lncRNA (ENSECAG00000058985.1)". The record is from RNAcentral. Lineage: Eukaryota; Metazoa; Chordata; Mammalia; Perissodactyla; Equidae.